Non-coding RNA from Vanrija pseudolonga, 72 nucleotides. The record is from the annotation of a RefSeq genome assembly. Lineage: Eukaryota; Fungi; Basidiomycota; Tremellomycetes; Trichosporonales; Trichosporonaceae.
GCUCGUGUGGUGAAGUAGCAACACGCCUCCUUAGGGUGGAGGAGAUCCUGGGUUCAAACCCCAGCUCGAGCU